Myotis daubentonii (Daubenton's bat) is the source of this 5754-nucleotide RNA transcript. It is a transcript of the gene named UDP-GlcNAc:betaGal beta-1,3-N-acetylglucosaminyltransferase 2, with no coding region annotated. The transcript has 4 exons. Lineage: Eukaryota; Metazoa; Chordata; Mammalia; Chiroptera; Vespertilionidae. The record is from RefSeq and is a predicted model, not a curated record.
GUUGUUCUUAAGCCACCCACUGUAUGCUAUUCUGUUAUAGCAGCCUGGACAGAUAAGAUACAGUUGGGCUGGGGGCCCAGUGCAAGGAAAUUCAGGGCCCCUUGUUCAAAAGCAGGAGAAAAACUUUUUUCUUUCUUCUGUGGGCUCUGUCUUGACUCAUCGUGUGUUUUUAAAUUUGCUAUUUAAUGUCAUGCCCUCUAGGCAUGGGGAGACUUGGGUGAGUACAACCCUCAGGGCUUUCUGGGAUGCUGCCCCAACCCCCACCCUCCAUGUGUUUGCACCCAGGCCUCUGUUGAGGGCACUGCAGCUCACAGGGUGACCUCUGAGCUCCGGUUGGAGCAGAAGUGAUUACAGCUGGAGGAAAGUGCAGCCAGCAGCAACCUGGUAUUUAGGGUGAUUAACGAACGGACUGGAAAUUUCCUCUGCUUCGGCCUCAGCCUGCACCUGAACUGUGGCCGAUGCAGCAGUCCAUUUCUGUAUAAUGUCUUUUGACAGCUGGAAGGAGGGCAAACCCAAAAGACUAACCUAAUUACAGUGAAGGAGAGAUCUGGCUGCUCUCUGCUGACAAGGCAAUGGCGAGCCGUUGGGCAUCUAAAGAGGAAAGGGCUGUGUUCAGAGCAGCACCUGAGGAAGGUGUCGUGGGCGGCCAAGUUUCAGAAGAAUUGAGGAGAAAAGAAUCCAGGUAGCACCAAUCUGCUUGCCUAAGGCUGUCCUCACUCCCUCCAGUGGGCUAAGAGAGUUCUCCUUUCGGCAAACUCCCUCUAUAACUUGGCAUUCUCAGGCCUCUACAUUUCUGCCAACCACAGGGAUGUGAAUCAACAUUUCAUUGUAAUAUUAACUUGCAUUUCCCUGAGGACCCAGCCCAUGGCAGAAAGGCUUGUGCCAGCAUGGACACACACAAGACUGGGUCUCCUGCCCAGGAGUGCUGGUUCCUGAGACAGAAGAGUCUUUGUGAAGAAGGGAGAAGAAGAACCCUGAUGCCUCCUGUGGGCUCCAGGCGGAGGAAGGAGGGAUGCCUGGCACUGAGGGGAGGCAGGGCCUGACUGGAGCCUCCAACGUGCGGCGAGAGGCUUUCUAGAUUUCUGAGGCUUCUGGGGCCAAGGGGCUGGGUCCCCUGGAAGGGGAGAGAGAAAGCAGGAGUAGGGCCUUUCUCCUCUCACUGUCCUGAGGGGACCCGGCAGGCUCUGCCCCCACCUUCUUUCUAGAAUGUGGGAGAUACUUGAGGGCACCUCAGAAAGUUGAGGCUAUAGCAUAGAUAUGGAACAGAUAACAGUGGAAGUAGAGAAAGAUUGUCUUUUAAGUCCCUUUCAAUACUUCUAAUUGUAUCUGGGGGAAAGACUCCCUUUGGUCUAACCCAGCGGUUCUCAACCUGUGGGUCAUGACUCCUUUGGCGGUCGAACGACCCUUUCACAGGGGUCGCCUAAGACCAUCCUGCAUAUCAGAUAUUUACAUUACGAUUCAUAACAGUAGCAACAUUACAGUUAUGAAGUAGCAGCGAAAAGAAUUUUAUGGUUGGGUCACAAUGUGAGGAACUGUGUUUAAAGGGCCAGAAGGUUGAGAACCACUGGUCUAACCUGUCAACCCUGUGGAAUGCUUGCUAAUCCCCCCCUUUAACUCUGAGAGACUGGGCCUGAGGCUUUGGAGACCUGGGAGCUGGGGUAUCUGACUAGAUAUUUAAUAACGUUGCUUUGUUUGUGUUGUAUUUGCUUGUUGGGGGUUGCCUUCUAUUCUGACAAGUGAUGGCAGUUUGCUAUUAGUGAUGCUAAUAGAAAGUUUCCUUUUAAUACAUGUAUUUGAGCAAAAGAAAGCCACCGUAUGUGUGUAAGAUCACAUUUAUGUGAACAUCUGGAUAAAGAGAUGUAGAAAAGGAGGGUCAGCAGAAUGUUGAUGGCAGUCAGAUCCCGGUGAUUUCUGUCUUCCUUAUGCUUUUUUUUUUGUAUUGUUUGCAUUUUUUACAAUGAGCAUACAUUAUUUAAAAUAUCAGAAAAUAACUACUUUUGUUAUGGAGAAAGGUACAUAUGUUUAAAGGAACAUACUAAAUACAUAAUAAUGCAAGGAAUAUAUGGCUUUAGCAACAUGGUUGACUUGGCCUGGGUGACUUUGUGCUGGGAGACUAUGAGGACCGGCCCAGGCAAACAGCCAGGACAGCCUACCUGUCACGGGAAAUUUGGGCACCUACUUACUGCUGGAGGCUGGGCCUGGUCUUUUCAGCCCUGUCCAGAGGAUUUCAUUUCAGUGUCUCACCGACAACUUUUGAACCAGGUAAAAGCAUUGAUCGGUUGACGAGCUGGGACUGAGUUUCUGUGGUGUGUUAGACCAGGGGUCCUCAAACUUUUUAAACAGGGGGCCAGUUCACCGUCCCUCAGACCGUUGGAGGGCCAGACUAUAGUUUUAAAAAAAACUAUGAACAAAUUCCUAUGCACACUGCACAUAUCUUAUUUUGAAGUAAAAAAACAAAACGGGAACAAAUACAAUAUUUGUAUUUGUAUGUGUCCCGCGGGCCAUAGUUUGAGGACCCCUGUGUUAGACCUUUGCGUUGCCUGCAUUUAGAUGCCUCAGGUUGGGGUGGACAAAGGGAAUUUGGCCAGGGUCUCGAUUUCUCUUCCUGGUGCUGUCCUAAGAGUGGUCUUGUUGUAGAAGACCGAAAAAAACCCAAGCACCGCUUAGAGAAAUGGAGGUACACAGCUUUAUUAUGCCGGCGGUCUCAGGGGAGCUGCUUCCAAAGUCUGAGCAAACCAAUAUGGUGGAAGCUCUUCUUCUAUCCCCUUUGGUUUCUUUGUCCCCCAAAUAUGGAUGGGACUUCCAGACCUUUCCUGGGCUUUGCAAAAAGCCCUGUGUGUUGGGAUGGGGUCCUUGAGACCAUACCUAAGGGCUUGGCCUGGUGCCAGCGCUGAUAACCCCUCUGGGGGUUGUGUGUUGUUCGUGGUUUAUGGCCCCUGUAAAAUGUGAGCAUUGAGGUAACAGGUCUUGCAAGACCAGAUUGUGGAGAAAGGGGCAGUGACUUAAGUAUAGGUUAUCACGAAUGUACAUUAGGUCACUGGCACAGGCUCAGAUUGCUGCCCCCCCCCUCCCCCAAACAUCAGGGUCACCUUGGAGUUAGCCUGUUAGCCUUCUCAGUCUGUUGUUCUAGAGCUGAACAGCCUUCUCCCUGUAGGCUGUUCGCCCGUCUGCGGAGUGACCACUACUUGGCUCUCUUCCCAAAGAGACCUGGCAGCUAGUGCCAGUUCGCUCCUCCGCAAUGUAGGGCGCCAUUUAACAGGAGCCCCUGGGGCGAAGAAUUCCUCCUGUGUAGCCACCGGAAUCCUCCGUUCACCGCCCUCAGGAAAAGGCUUUUUCAGAUCACACCCUGAAUGACUAUUUAAUCUUUAAUGGGGCCAACACGUCCAGACAGAACAAGGAGCAGACAGGGACUCCCGGCUCCUCCUUGGGGAUUUACCGGGCUUCAUGGUCUGACUGCUGUGCUGUGUGUCUGAUUAUGGGGUGGAUGGGGAUUGAGCCGACAGUGUCUUCCAUCAUGAGAUAAUACAGGACCAUGUUGUCGCUAAUCCAUAGGCACAAGACAGCCACAGGCCCUGCCCUCCUGGGGUGGCAGUCAGUCUGAUGGAGGAGGCAGACUAAUAAGGGCAGGUGUGGAGAGGGUUUGCUGCAGCACGUAGCAGUGGUCACUGAAGGGGGGUUGAGAGGGGUGUCUGAACAGAAGACUUAGAAUGAGACACUGCCGGGGAGGGGAAAAUUUCCCCUUUUAGUUAUUCUGGCUGGCCUAAUAAUCAAAUGGACAUGAGACAGAUCAACAGGAGAAGAUGAUCAAAUGUAGUUAUGUAUGUGCAGACAAGGGUUCCUGUAAGACAAGGGGACCAAAGGGCAAAUCUGACAGGUGAGGUUUCUAUGCCAUCUUGAGCCAAGGAGAAAGGGAGUAAUGGUUUAUAUUUCUAAGAGAAGGUAGGCAAUUCACAGAGAGAGAUGGGAAGGAACUAAAUAUUUGGUAAACAAAUUCUUGCAGGUCUACCCAGAAACAAUGGGACACAGAGGGUUCCUCCCUGUCUGCCACACUUAGUUUGUGUUAAAACAUAGUUGUCUGUGAUUAUAGCUCUCUUCCUGGAGCAGGUUCUCGGUCUAAAUUCCUUUAGGCAAUUUUUGGAGAAGGUCAAAGUUUCUUCCUGAGGCUUGUUUUUAAAAAAUAAACCAUCUUAAAAUAAACAAUAUUCCAAAAAAAGGCAUAUUUGAGGUGGGAAACCUCUCCUCCCCUUCAACUCAAAGAAAGAAUUCACCAGAUGAGGAGAGGUGGGAAGGAGUGAUCCAGGGAGAGGGAACAGAAUAUGCCGAAACCCGGAUGCCAGAGGGACCCUGCUGUGUUCAGCUGGGAGAAGAAGAGAGAAUAAGCUGGGGAGAUGGGGAGGGCCCACAUCCUGUUGGACCUCCUAGGACAGGAGUUCUCAACUGAGGGCAGUUUUGACCCCCAGGGGCCUUUGGCAAGAUUGUCACAGCUCGGUUGUCACAAACGUGUUUGUGUGUGUGUGGGGGGGGGGGGGGGCGGUGGGGGAGUGGCUCCUGGCACCAACUAGGUAGAGGCCCUGGAUGCUGCUAAACAUCCUGCCAGGCACAGGACAGCCCCUGGCAACAAAGAAUGAUCCAGCCCCAAAUGGUCAAUAACGCUGGUGUUGAGAAACUGGGUCUAAAGACUUUGUUCCUCCUUCUAAAGCCAAGAGGAAGCUAUAACCGAGUUUUACAGGAGAGGGGCAGGACCAGAUUUGUGUUUUGAAGUGAUCAGUCCAGCUGCUCUGAGGAAAUGUUGAGAUCUAGCUGUUCUAGUUCAGGGCCACUCCUAGUAGUACUGGACUGUUUUCUCCAGCGUGGGAAUUUCCAGCCUCUGUGGUUCCCCCCGCGCCCCCCACCCUCACCCCCACCCCCAGGACUUACCCUGGACUGCUUCGUGGACCGCUAGGCCUCUAGGAAACCCCAUCCAGGUCAGAGAAACCAAGUCAGAUACUUAGUAAGAACUAAGCAGGCCAGGGGGCUUUCCACUGAGCACAACAGGCACAGCACUCGGGCCUGUAAAAUGCUUAAGGCCCAUGUGUCGGGCAGAAAACGGUCCCCCAAAGAUGUCCCAAUCCCCAAAACCUGUGAAUAUGUUACUCUACAUGGCAAAGGGAUUUUGCAGAUGUGAUUAAACUAAGGAACUUGUGAAGUGUGGUAGCAAUCAUCUCAGGCAGAAACUGUGGUUUAACUUUAACCCUGCUGUUUGGCUUCUGUACUUAUUUGCUUUAACAAUAGAAAAGUUAUUUCGAUUUACUGAAUUAUAUAAAUCAUCCCAUUCGAUUGAAUGUCUUAUUGAUUGUAACGUGACUAUCCCAUUGAUUGUGGUCGUACUGGUUUUGGAAAGCACAUUCCGCUGUACCUGGGAACCAGGACAGCACACUUAUCCCAAGACCUGAGGGCUCCAGAUAAUGUGUCCCUGUCAACUCAGUGGUCCCAAGACCCGAGGGCUCUAGAUAAUGAGUUUCUGUCAACUCAGUGGUCCGAAGACCCAAAACUAUAAUUAAUCUUUGUAGAUAACUAAUCGGCUCAAUCUCGCUUCUGUGACUGCUUUGUGCAAACCAGGGUCCUCAUUCCAAACCCUGGGAUGUAAUUAAUACCUUUGUGAUCUUUGCCUAUAUAAAUCUGGUGUUGGGGCUGGGGAGGGCACUGCGAGAUUUGGGAGAGUGAAAUGCCCUCUCGUAGUCCCGCAUUUGCAAUAAAUAUGACUCCUUAAUUCGA